CUGUUGCGUCUUCACCAGAUCUUAUGUCUGUUUGCGUCGGCUGGUCGUCAGCUGGACGGACGGAAACGCCGUCGUGUCUGACUCAGCUCCUCCCCCGCUGAUCCAUUCUCUUCCUCUGGUCCGGUGGCAUCUCCUUUGGGCGGCUUCCGAUCUUUGAAGCCAGCGAUGAACUCCUCCAGAGUCACCGAGCCGUCGCUGUCCGCGUCCAGGCGGUUGAAGAUGCCGUCUGCUUCUUGUGACGGGACAUGAAGCUCCUGACAGAUGGUGGAAAACUCGUUUUUUUCAAUCCGACCCGAAUGAUCCACAUCGUAGGCGUGAAAGAGUGAACUCAGGAGCUUUUGUUGCUCCUUGCUCGCGCCCCUUGUUGAAGCCAUAUUUAGCUUUCAAAAUCUUUGUUAAUGGACAUCCAUUUUUCAAAAUUCAAAAUUGAAAUUCGAAUUUCAAUUAGAAUUAGAGAUUUGAAAAAAGGAUUAGUGUGAAUCCUUUAGCCGACUCACUUUUAUAUCCUCCCUGCGCCUUUUCCCGGUUUGACACGUGGAUAUUCCUGAUAAAAUCACAUUUUUCAAACCUCCAACACUGCGUUACAAAUUUCGUUAACGCCAUGAUUGCCAUCAAAGUCAAAGAACGCCUCAAGGUAAGCGAAAGAGAGGUAUUUGCUCUUUCCCCUCAAAAACAGCAAAUUUCAUCAUUUAAAAUGAUCACAUUUUUAACUUUUUAUAAUAUAUCACGGUUGCCAUACCCAAUCAUCCAACGUUUCUAUUUUUAAAUGGCAAUGAAGGAGUCCACUGUUCUCUCUCAAUAGUCCAAUAGUGCAAGUGACUUGCAUGGGAAGCCCCGUAGUCUGGUUUUAGAGGUCUUAUCUAGCAGGAAAAGUUUUGUUGAAGAACUUUGUCUUUUUCCCCCAAAAAUAAACAGUUAACCAAU
Molecule: non-coding RNA, 924 nt
Organism: Gasterosteus aculeatus aculeatus (three-spined stickleback)
Lineage: Eukaryota; Metazoa; Chordata; Actinopteri; Perciformes; Gasterosteidae
Source: RefSeq, a predicted model, not a curated record